ACCCGCGUAGGCAAAUCUGGCAAAGCCGUCGCGCUUAGGACGCGAAGUCUGGGAGUUCGAAUCUCCCCGUGGGUACCA
RNAcentral lists this transfer RNA (78 nucleotides) under Streptomyces sp. SDr-06. Its description in RNAcentral is "tRNA-Leu". It matches the Rfam family "tRNA". From Rfam's summary of the family: Transfer RNA (tRNA) molecules are approximately 80 nucleotides in length. The record is from RNAcentral. Lineage: Bacteria; Bacillati; Actinomycetota; Actinomycetes; Kitasatosporales; Streptomycetaceae.